This is a non-coding RNA of Nematostella vectensis (starlet sea anemone), 83 nucleotides long. Lineage: Eukaryota; Metazoa; Cnidaria; Anthozoa; Actiniaria; Edwardsiidae. The record is from Rfam.
ACAAGGAUGGCCGAGUGGUUAAGGCGUUGGACUUAAGUUCAAAUGUACGGAUGUACGCGUGGGUUCGAACCCCACUCCUGGUA